AUCAUGGCUCAGGAUGAACGCUGGCGGCGUGCCUAAUACAUGCAAGUCGAACGCACAGCGAAAGGUGCUUGCACCUUUCAAGUGAGUGGCGAACGGGUGAGUAACACGUGGAUAACCUACCUCAAGGUUGGGGAUAACAUUUGGAAACAGAUGCUAAUACCGAAUAAAACUUCGUAUCGCAUGAUACAAGGUUAAAAGGCGCUACGGCGUCACCUAGAGAUGGAUCCGCGGUGCAUUAGUUAGUUGGUGGGGUAAAGGCCUACCAAGACAAUGAUGCAUAGCCGAGUUGAGAGACUGAUCGGCCAUAUUGGGACUGAGACACGGCCCAAACUCCUACGGGAGGCUGCAGUAGGGAAUCUUCCACAAUGGGCGAAAGCCUGAUGGAGCAACGCCGCGUGUGUGAUGAAGGCUUUCGGGUCGUAAAGCACUGUUGUAUGGGAAGAACAGCUAGAGUAGGGAAUGACUUUAGUUUGACGGUACCAUACCAGAAAGGGACGGCUAAAUACGUG
RNAcentral lists this ribosomal RNA (509 nucleotides) under uncultured bacterium. Its description in RNAcentral is "bacterial SSU rRNA". It matches the Rfam family "Bacterial small subunit ribosomal RNA", at positions 16 to 507 of the family's 1533-position model. The record is from RNAcentral.